UACAUGGGGUGCAAACGUUGCUCGGAAUCAUUGGGCGUAAAGCGCGUGUAGGCGGUUCGGUAAGUCCGCUGUGAAAGUCAAAGGCUCAACCUUUGAAAGCCGAUGGAUACUGUGAGGCUAGAGUCCGGAAGAGGCGAGUGGAAUUCCUGGUGUAGCGGUGGAAUGCGCAGAUAUCAGGAGGAACACCAAUAGCGAAGGCAGCUCGCUGGGACGGUACUGACGCUAAGGCGCGAAAGCGUGGGGAGCGAACAGG
Molecule: ribosomal RNA, 253 nt
Filed under: uncultured bacterium
Lineage: Bacteria
Description: partial 16S ribosomal RNA
Rfam family: Bacterial small subunit ribosomal RNA
Source: RNAcentral